AGGAUUAGAUACCCUGGUAGUCCACGCCGUAAACGAUGAUAGCUAGGUGUCGGGGCGAGAGUUUCGGUGCGCAGUUAACACAAUAAGCUAUCCACCUGGGGAGUACGGUCGCAAGAUUUGAAAACUCAAAGGAAUUGACGGGGGCCCGCACAAGCGGUGGAGCAUGUGGUUUAAUUCGAAAGCAACGCGAAGAACCUUACCGGGGUUUGACAUCCCGCUGACAGCAUUGGAGACAGUGUUCCCUUCGGGGCAGCGGAGACAGGUGGUGCAUGGUUGUCGUCAGCUCGUGUCGUGAGAUGUUGGGUUAAGUCCCGCAACGAGCGCAACCCUUAUGUUCAGUAGCCAGCGGGUAAAGCCGGGCACACUGGAGAGACUGCCGCGGAUAACGCGGAGGAAGGCGGGGAUGAGGUCAAAUCAUCAUGCCCCUUAUAUCCCGGACUACACACGUGCUACAAUGGCUCAAACAAAGCGAAGCAAGCCGGCGACGGGGAGCGAAUCGCGAAAUUGAGUCUCAGUUCGGAUUGAAGUCUGCAACCCGACUUCAUGAAGUUGGAAUCGCUAGUAAUCGCGGAUCAGAAUGCCGCGGUGAAUACGUUCCCGGGCCUUGUACACACCGCCCGUCACACCAUGGGAGUUGGAAGCGCCCGAAGUCUGUGACCCAACCGUAAGGAGGGAGCAGCCGAAGGUGAAGCCAGUGACUGGGGUGAAGUCGUAACAAGGUAGCCGUAA
This 729-nucleotide ribosomal RNA is filed under the name uncultured bacterium. RNAcentral's name for it is "bacterial SSU rRNA". It matches the Rfam family "Bacterial small subunit ribosomal RNA", at positions 774 to 1505 of the family's 1533-position model. The record is from RNAcentral.